UACGUAGGUGGCAAGCGUUGUCCGGAUUUACUGGGCGUAAAGAGCGCGCAGGCGGUCGUUCAAGUCGCGUGUGAAAGCCCCCGGCUCAACUGGGGAGGGUCACGCGAUACUGAUCGACUCGAAGGCAGGAGAGGGUAGUGGAAUUCCCGGUGUAGUGGUGAAAUACGUAGAGAUUGGGAAGAACACCAGUGGCGAAGGCGGCUAUCUGGACGGUACUGACGCUGAGACGCGAAAGCGUGGGGAGCGAACAGG
RNAcentral lists this ribosomal RNA (252 nucleotides) under uncultured bacterium. RNAcentral's name for it is "partial 16S ribosomal RNA". It matches the Rfam family "Bacterial small subunit ribosomal RNA", at positions 524 to 776 of the family's 1533-position model. The record is from RNAcentral.